CUUCGGACCUUGCGCUAAUAGAUGAGCCUAAGUCGGAUUAGCUAGUUGGUGGGGUAAAGGCCUACCAAGGCGACGAUCUGUAGCGGGUCUGAGAGGAUGAUCCGCCACACUGGGACUGAGACACGGCCCAGACUCCUACGGGAGGCAGCAGUGGGGAAUAUUGGACAAUGGGCGCAAGCCUGAUCCAGCCAUGCCGCGUGUGUGAAGAAGGCCUUAUGGUUGUAAAGCACUUUAAGCGAGGAGGAGGCUACUUUAGUUAAUACCUAGAGAUAGUGGACGUUACUCGCAGAAUAAGCACCGGCUAACUCUGUGCCAGCAGCCGCGGUAAUACAGAGGGUGCAAGCGUUAAUCGGAUUUACUGGGCGUAAAGCGCGCGUAGGCGGCUAAUUAAGUCAAAUGUGAAAUCCCCGAGCUUAACUUGGGAAUUGCAUUCGAUACUGGUUAGCUAGAGUGUGGGAGAGGAUGGUAGAAUUCCAGGUGUAGCGGUGAAAUGCGUAGAGAUCUGGAGGAAUACCGAUGGCGAAGGCAGCCAUCUGGCCUAACACUGACGCUGAGGUGCGAAAGCAUGGGGAGCAAACAGGAUUAGAUACCCUGGUAGUCCAUGCCGUAAACGAUGUCUACUAGCCGUUGGGGCCUUUGAGGGCUUUAGUGGCGCAGCUAACGCGAUAAGUAGACCGCCUGGGGAGUACGGUCGCAAGACUAAAACUCAAAUGAAUUGA
This 719-nucleotide ribosomal RNA is filed under the name Acinetobacter calcoaceticus. RNAcentral describes it as "bacterial SSU rRNA". It matches the Rfam family "Bacterial small subunit ribosomal RNA", at positions 207 to 913 of the family's 1533-position model. Lineage: Bacteria; Pseudomonadati; Pseudomonadota; Gammaproteobacteria; Moraxellales; Moraxellaceae. The record is from RNAcentral.